AAGUCGUAACAAGGUAACCGUAGGUGAACCUGCGGUUGGAUCAUUACUGAUAUCUUGUUGAUAGAGUUGAUACCGAAAGGAGUCCUCUAUCAGCAUAAACCCCUUGUGCACCAUAAUGUUUUUUGGGUUGUCGGUGCUGGUCUUUAUGGCAAGCUUGGCAGCCCAAACAAUUUAACAAACGCUAAGAAUUCAGUCUGAUUUUAUCUAGUAAUAGAAACAACUUUUGACAACGGAUCUCUUGGCUCUC
Molecule: unclassified non-coding RNA, 247 nt
Filed under: fungal sp.
Lineage: Eukaryota; Fungi
Description: partial internal transcribed spacer region
Rfam family: Eukaryotic small subunit ribosomal RNA (bases 1-46)
Source: RNAcentral